CCUACGGGGGACAGCAGUGAGGAAUAUUGGUCAAUGGACGGGAGUCUGAACCAGCGAAGUAGCGUGAAGGAAGAAUGACCUAUGGGUGGUAAGCUUCUUUUGUAUGGGCAUAAAAUGUUCCACGUGUGGGAUUUGGUCUGUCUCAUUUGAUUCCGGCUCCGCUAACUCCGUGCCAGCAGCCGCGGUAAUCCGGAGGAUCCGAGCGUUAUCCGGAUUUAGUGGGUUUAAAGGGAGCGUAGUUGGAUUGUUAAGUCAGUUGUGAAAGUUUGCGGCUCAACCGUAAAAUUGCAGUUGAAACUGGCAGUCUUGAGUACAGUAGAGGUGGGCGGAAUUCGUGGUGUAGCGGUGAAAUGCUUAGAUAUCACGAAGAACUCCGAUUGCGAAGGCAGCUUACUGGACUGCAACUGACAUUGAGGCUCGAAAGUGUGGGUAUCAAACAGGAUUAGAUACUCGAGUAGUC
This 460-nucleotide ribosomal RNA is filed under the name uncultured bacterium. RNAcentral's name for it is "partial 16S ribosomal RNA". It matches the Rfam family "Bacterial small subunit ribosomal RNA", at positions 338 to 795 of the family's 1533-position model. The record is from RNAcentral.